This 25-nucleotide non-coding RNA is filed under the name Mus musculus (house mouse). Lineage: Eukaryota; Metazoa; Chordata; Mammalia; Rodentia; Muridae. The record is from RNAcentral.
UCUUGAUGUGUUGUGAAAGUUGGGU